RNAcentral lists this ribosomal RNA (492 nucleotides) under uncultured bacterium. Its description in RNAcentral is "partial 16S ribosomal RNA". It matches the Rfam family "Bacterial small subunit ribosomal RNA", at positions 29 to 507 of the family's 1533-position model. The record is from RNAcentral.
AGUGAACGCUGGCGGUAGGCCUAACACAUGCAAGUCGAACGGCAGCACAGUAAGAGCUUGCCCUUACGGGUGGCGAGUGGCGGACGGGUGAGGAAUACAUCGGAAUCUACUUUUUCGUGGGGGAUAACGUAGGGAAACUUACGCUAAUACCGCAUACGACCUACGGGUGAAAGCAGGGGAUCUUCGGACCUUGCGCGAUUGAAUGAGCCGAUGUCGGAUUAGCUAGUUGGCGGGGUAAAGGCCCACCAAGGCGACGAUCCGUAGCUGGUCUGAGAGGAUGAUCGGCCGCACUGGAACUGAGACACGGUCAAGACUCCUACGGGAGGCAGCAGUGGGGAAUAUGGGACAAUGGGCGCAAGCCUGAUCCAGCCAUACCGCGUGGGUGAAGAAGGCCUUCGGGUUGUAAAGCCCUUUUGUUGGGAAAGAAAAGCAGCAGGUUAAUACCCCGCUGUUCUGACGGUACCCAAAGAAUAAGCACCGGCUAACUUCGUG